GGGCAGGGAUAACUGGCUUGUGGCGGCCAA
This 30-nucleotide unclassified non-coding RNA is filed under the name Dictyostelium discoideum. The record is from RNAcentral. Lineage: Eukaryota; Evosea; Eumycetozoa; Dictyosteliales; Dictyosteliaceae.